Regulatory RNA element from Tenacibaculum sp., 65 nucleotides. It matches the Rfam family "S15-Flavobacteria ribosomal protein leader". The record is from Rfam. NCBI's taxonomy places the organism in Bacteria, Pseudomonadati, Bacteroidota, Flavobacteriia, Flavobacteriales, Flavobacteriaceae.
UAUAUUUGCAGCUUCAAUGAAAAGUCAUUGAUAUACAUAAUAAUCAUUUAAAUAAUAUUGGAAUG